GAUGAACGCUAGCGGCAGGCCUAAUACAUGCAAGUCGAGGGGCAGCGGGAGUAGCAAUACUUGCCGGCGACCGGCGCACGGGUGCGUAACACGUAUACAAUCUGCCUUCUACUGGGGGAUAACCUUUCGAAAGAGAGAUUAAUACCCCAUAAUAAAUUGAAUAGCAUUAUUUGAUUUUGAAAGAUCCGUCGGUAGAAGAUGAGUAUGCGUCUGAUUAGCUAGUUGGUGAGGUAAUGGCUCACCAAGGCUACGAUCAGUAGGGGAUCUGAGAGGACUACCCCCCACACUGGUACUGAGACACGGACCAGACUCCUACGGGAGGCAGCAGUAAGGAAUAUUGGACAAUGGAGGCAACUCUGAUCCAGCCAUGCCGCGUGCAGGAUGAAGGCCCUAUGGGUCGUAAACUGCUUUUGUACGAGAGAAAACCUAUUUACGUGUAGAUAGUUGAUAGUAUCGUAAGAAUAAGGAUCGGCUAACUUCGUGCCAGCAGCCGACGG
RNAcentral lists this ribosomal RNA (497 nucleotides) under uncultured bacterium. RNAcentral describes it as "bacterial SSU rRNA". It matches the Rfam family "Bacterial small subunit ribosomal RNA", at positions 28 to 520 of the family's 1533-position model. The record is from RNAcentral.